Molecule: ribosomal RNA, 940 nt
Filed under: Chryseobacterium sp.
Lineage: Bacteria; Pseudomonadati; Bacteroidota; Flavobacteriia; Flavobacteriales; Weeksellaceae
Description: bacterial SSU rRNA
Rfam family: Bacterial small subunit ribosomal RNA
Source: RNAcentral
UUUUUUACGGAGCCUUACCCGUGCAGCCGAGCGGUAGAGAUCUUUCGGGAUCUUGAGAGCGGCGUACGGGUGCGGAACACAAAGUGCAACCUGCCUUUAUCAGGGGGAUAGCCUUUCGAAAGGAAGAUAAAUACCCCAUAAUAUAUUGAGUGGCAUCACUUAAUAUUGAAAACUCCGGUGGAUAGAGAUGGGCACGCGCAAGAUUAAAUAGUUGGUGAGGUAACGGCUCACCAAGUCUGCGAUCUUUAGGGGGCCUGAGAGGGUGAUCCCCCACACUGGUACUGAGACACGGACCAGACUCCUACGGGAGGCAGCAGUGAGGAAUAUUGGACAAUGGGUGCGAGCCUGAUCCAGCCAUCCCGCGUGAAGGACGACGGCCCUAUGGGUUGUAAACUUCUUUUGUAUAGGGAUAAACCUACUCUCGUGAGAGUAGCUGAAGGUACUAUACGAAUAAGCACCGGCUAACUCCGUGCCAGCAGCCGCGGUAAUACGGAGGGUGCAAGCGUUAUCCGGAUUUAUUGGGUUUAAAGGGUCCGUAGGCGGAUCUGUAAGUCAGUGGUGAAAUCUCACAGCUUAACUGUGAAACUGCCCAUUGAUACUGCAGGUCUUGAGUGUUGUUGAAGUAGCUGGAAUUAUGUAGUUGUAGCGGUGAAAUGCCUAGAUAUUACUUAGAACACCAAUUUGCGAAGGCAGGGUUACUAAGCAACAACUGACGCUGAUGGACGAAGCGCGGGGGAGCGAACAGGAUUAGAUACCCCUGGUAGUCCACGCCGUAAACGAUGCUACCUCGUUUUGGGUUUUCGGAUUCAGAGACUUAGCGAAAGUGAUAAGUUAGCCACCUGGGGAGUACGACGCAGUUUGGAAACUCUAAGGAAUUGACGGGGGGCCCGAAAAGCGGGGAUUAUGGGGGUUAAUUUCGAUGGAAUCGCGAGGGAACCUU